UACGGGGGGGGCAAGCGUUGUUCGGAAUUACUGGGCGUAAAGGGCUCGUAGGCGGCCAACUAAGUCAGACGUGAAAUCCCUAGGCUCAACCUAGGAACUGCGUCUGAUACUGGAUGGCUUGAAUCCGGGAGAGGGAUGCAGAAUUCCAGGUGUAGCGGUGAAAUGCGUAGAUAUCUGGAGGAAUACCGGUGGCGAAGGCGGCAUCCUGGACCGGCAUUGACGCUGAUGCGCGAAAGCCAGGGGAGCAAACGGG
This 253-nucleotide ribosomal RNA is filed under the name uncultured bacterium. RNAcentral describes it as "partial 16S ribosomal RNA". It matches the Rfam family "Bacterial small subunit ribosomal RNA", at positions 524 to 776 of the family's 1533-position model. The record is from RNAcentral.